This 466-nucleotide ribosomal RNA is filed under the name uncultured bacterium. Its description in RNAcentral is "bacterial SSU rRNA". It matches the Rfam family "Bacterial small subunit ribosomal RNA", at positions 355 to 825 of the family's 1533-position model. The record is from RNAcentral.
UAGGGAAUAUUGGACAAUGGGUGAGAGCCUGAUCCAGCCAUGCCGCGUGCAGGAAGAAGGCGUUAUGCGUUGUAAACUGCUUUUGCCAGGGGAUAAAAUGACCGUGCGCGGUUAAUUGAAGGUACCUGGUGAAUAAGCCACGGCUAACUACGUGCCAGCAGCCGCGGUAAUACGUAGGGUGCAAGCGUUAAUCGGAAUUACUGGGCGUAAAGCGUGCGCAGGCGGUUAUGCAAGACAGAUGUGAAAUCCCCGGGCUCAACCUGGGAACUGCAUUUGUGACUGUAUAGCUAGAGUACGGUAGAGGGGGAUGGAAUUCCGCGUGUAGCAGUGAAAUGCGUAGAUAUGCGGAGGAACACCGAUGGCGAAGGCAAUCCCCUGGACCUGUACUGACGCUCAUGCACGAAAGCGUGGGGAGCAAACAGGAUUAGAUACCCAUGUAGUCCCUGAGCGGGCUGGCAAGGCGCAU